RNAcentral lists this long non-coding RNA (31602 nucleotides) under Phaseolus vulgaris (common bean). RNAcentral's name for it is "long non-coding RNA (PVUL_LNC003303)". The record is from RNAcentral. Lineage: Eukaryota; Viridiplantae; Streptophyta; Magnoliopsida; Fabales; Fabaceae.
GUGGUGUCAGUGCUGGUGGUGGUCAGAGUUCCUUGGGUUACCUCUUUGGCAGUGGAGAGCCUGCCAGCAAUGUCCCAAGUGCUAACCAGCCUGCACGCACUCAAAAUGCCAGUGCUCCUCCAGCACCAGUUGAGAAGCCAAGUCCAGCACCAGUUGCCCCAAGUCCAGCACCAGUUGAGAGGCAAAGUCCAGUUGAGAAGCAAAGUCCAGCACAAGUUGAAAAGCAAAUUCCAGCUGGAAUUCCUGGAAGUCUCAAAAACAAUUACCAUCGUGCUGAUGGCCAAAACUGUGGCAACUUUCUCACUGUACUUCCCUUGCCGUAUCUAUUAUGAUUGUUUUAAUUUUAACUUUACUCUAUAAUUAGCUCUUGUCCUUUCUUUAAUUUUGAUUUAAGUAUUCUUCUUUCUUUCCACUUACAUGAGCCUAGGAAGUACUAGAAAGUUUCAUAGUAAAGUAGAUGUAUUUUGGAGUCUCCUCCUCUUGCAUUUCCUAAUAAUGUCCAGUUAAAAAUAGUUUAGUUGCAAACUCUAAAAGUAAAACAGGAUUUUGAAUUGCAGUAGUGUGACAUUGUAGGAGAUCCUUUUUGCAUAAAGUUCCAGCAAGAAGUAUUCAAAACUUUAAGAAUAGUUCAGAUCUCUCCGCCUAAGCUACCUUUAGCAUGGUUCUCUUGCCUUUUUGGUUGGAAGGAGUGACAUGAAUUAUACCUCCCCUGCUUGCUUAUCUAUAAGACAUACUAUACAUGCAUGUUAUAUAUGCUUUAGUAAUUUUCUAGUUUAUCUUGUAUGGAUUUACAAAUACUGUACUUUGUGCAACUGCUGUAAUAUUUAGAAAUGCUUUUUGUUGCUUGAGUGUUUAAGUGAGAGGACAAACCUUAGUGCAAAUGGUAAGGUUGCUGUACUGCACCAGGUUCUCCUUGUUGAAUGUUAAGAUAGUACAAUGUAAUUUAAGUUUUCAGCAUAGUGAUGAGAAUUUGUUCAGGGAGAAAAGUACCAACAUCUAGCAUGACCAACCUUGUAUGUAUUGAAUUGGUAUGAUGCUUUAGGAAUGACUAUUGAACUUCUUGUUAUGGCACUGAGGAAUUGUUCUUACUCAUGGUUUACUUUUGGGGUGCAGGAUCGGCCAUCUACCAAGGUUCAUGCUGCCCCAGGUGGUGGAUCUUCCUUGGGAUACCUCUUUGGUGGUCCUCCAGGGAACUAAUUAAUUCAUUGCUGUGAUUCAAAUCUACCAUGUGAUGAUGUAUCAUGUGUAAAAUAGAUAGUGUUGUCAUUGCCUUGUGUUUAGACCAGUGAAACUUUCUUCUUGUGCUAUUGAACCUCUCUUGACAAUGUUGGUGUGGCUUGAUGGCCCAAACUAAGCUGAUUCUAGGUCUGUUGUUCUGUGCUAUUGUGUGAAUUUCAAUUAAUGAAUUUACUGUGCCAAUGAGCUAAAGUUCCAUUAUGAAAUCAAGUUCCUUUUUUGUAGUGCCUUUUUUACCUCUAUUUAGGCAGUGGAAGUUAUGUUUUGAGAUUUUUAAUGAAAAUUACAGUACUUGUUUGAAAAAUUAACAGAUUAGAGUUAAUGUUUUUUUUUUAACUGAAGUGUUGGUGAAUGUAUUUUUAUUAUGAAUGGAAUCAUUUUUUUAUGACAGUUCCAUUCCUCUCUAUUUAGAAAAAUGAAGUUAAUUUUUUGAAAUAUUCGGAAGUAAUAGUAUUUUAAAAUUAUAGUGUUGUUGAAUUAAUUUCUUAUUUUUAUUUUUAUAUAUUUAUUAUGAAAUCAAGUUUCUUUUACAAUAUUAUCGUAAGAUUUUUUUUUUCAAAAUCUUCAAAAAGAAAGAUAAUUAAAGAUAAAAACACCUCUUCUUUCCAUUUAUUUUCUUUAUUUUCCAUUUUCUUUUUUUUAUCUCUUUUCUUUUUUGUCUGUUUUCUAAACUUCUUUAAGAAGCCCUCUCUUUUAAGUUAAAAAUGUAUGAAGUACGUAUAUGUUAUAUUUAAAUCUCUUUUUUAUAAACCUUAACUUUGAAGUAGUCUUCGAGCCAUAAGGAAAAUUCUCAAGGGUUAAUUAUUAUGAAGAUUUUUUCAGAGAAACAAAAAAAUCAUAAAUUAAAACUAAGUUAUGCAUAAAGUAAUUUAUAAAAAUUCUUUAAAACUUCUAUAAGUUUUUGUUUUUAAUUUGUAUAAAAAUUAAUUUUAACUUAAGAAAAAAAAAGCAUUCCAUAUACAAUAUAUAUUCUUUGAAGACUUUUACUUGUCAUUAUAUCAUAUGACCCCAUUUUUCUUUAAGAUCAUUUGAUUAUUGAUUCAACUAAUGAUACAUUAAUAUUGUGUAUGAGAUUGAAGAGUUUUCCAAUGCUUGGAACAAAGAAAUAGAGGCAAAUUCUUUUGAGCAACUAGGGGAAGGAAACAAACACAAACAAAAAAAUUCUUUGGUGUGUUUUUGUUCUGAGUAGUUUUAGAAACAUUGUGCACGUCUUAAUUUUGUUUAGUGUCUCGAUGGAAGAAAAAAUAAUGAAGAAAAUUGACAACACACUUAAGAAAUGAGAACAAACUAUUCAACCAACCUUACUAGAAUUGUUUAACUCAUUGCAAACCCUACAUUGCCAAAUGGGUUUUGGUUUUCUCGAAUGAUGCAACUCUUCAAAACUUGAAACAAAUUCUACAGUUGACCUAUCUUUACACUUUUUUGUUUACAUUUUUAUUUCAAUUAGCAAUUUUACUUUUGUAUUUUAGAUUUGAAACAACUAAUACCACAACCAUGUAUAUAAAAACUGAAGAUCAAGUAAUAAAAAAUAACCUGAAUUUUGUGGUGAAUAGAGGUUGAAUGAAAAUCAUGUGUUGCUCCAAAAAGAUUCUCUUCUCUACAAUUUUCGAAACCAAUACCCUUUCACCAAACAAUAUUGAAAGUUCAUAAAUUCUUGAAAAUUGACCAAGCAUAAAUCAAACUAUAUUUAACACACUUUUAACUAAACUUCUUUUAAAAUCAAGUUCAACUCAACUUCUUAACUAUAAUCCAAGCACAUACUAUAAGUUACGUUAGGGUUAAUCUUCAUUUAGAAUUAGAGUUUUAUCCGAUACAACAAAUUGAUAUUUAAUAACAAAAAUUAUUAUAUCAAAUUGUAGAAAUAAAAGUCUAAUUGAAAACAUGUCUUUAAGUUUUGUUCUGAUGAGAAACUGAAACACUCUAAAAUGAGUUGGUUCCAUACUAGGUUUCUUACACUGUCAGGCAAUUACUGUUGGAUGAAGGACAUGUUCUAGGAUGCUAUAUUUUAAUGUGCUUCUUUAAUACAUGAGAUGCUAAAACACUCUUAAUCGGAAUUAAUUAAAAGGUGUAGUAUUUAUUAAUCGUUCCUUUUAACAGUAACCCUUUUUGGCAGCAUAGCAUCCUCUUCUUGCAGAAUAUUGAACUGAGUUGAUGCCAUAAACAUUGCCAAGAAACUAUAACAUGCUGUGUUUCAAUCUGCACAAUAUCUUGUAAAGUUAGUCAUAUUCUGCAAAUUUUAUAUCUUUAAUAAUUGGCAAACAGUGAUCCAUGUGGGCAGACAUCAAAUACAAGUAUAGGAAUUGACAUUUGACACCCAUUUUAAGCACCUUGUAGAGUAGGCAAAGGCCAACACCAAACGAGGCACAGUGAUCCGAACAAUUAUAAUAUUAACUAAUUUCUUUAAGUGUAAUACAGCCUAGCAUGUUGUUGAGGUGGUGUUAUCAAAAAGUACCCAACUUCAAUCAACACUCUUUUAAACUAAUUGAUUUCUACGUGGUGGAAAGACAUGGCUUGCUUCAAACCAAACCAUAUUCCACAACACUCGUUAUCUACUUAUAGAAGAUAACUUUUUCCUUAAGUACUUUUAGAAGGAAAUAAGAAAGAAAAUAAGUUAAAACAAUGACAAUCUUGUACACUGUCUUGAGUUAAAAGCAGAACAAGGAAAAAGUGGAAGCAAGAAACAAAGCAAGUCCCAAUGUAACACUAACCUCAAACUUUAUUCAGUAGGAGAGAGAACGCAUUUAAAAAUAACAAGGUUAACAGAAAUCUCAAGAAAUGCUAAUUUUUAUCAUGGUUUAAAUUACUUUUUCCUCCCUCAUUCAUACUUCUGGUUAUGGGUAUAUAUCAAACAAUAAUGGUCACUCUGAAUUAACAAUUUAUGUAAGAAAAAAAAAACAUAAGCGCUUUUGGCAUCAUGAAAGUAUGCUUAGAAAGGUUAACAUUUUCAGUUUUUGGUAAAAAGAAAUUCUCAGGUGCUUUCCAAAAGUUCUUUGUGAAGAAAUUACUAUUGUUAUAGGAAAAAAAUGUUCUUUUAAUCAGGCAAUAAGAUGAACACUCUUCUAGUACAAACAUGAUUGUACUCUUCUUACCCAUCAAUCCUCAAAACCCUAUUAGCAUUAACUGCUUUCCCACAAAACCAUCAACAUUUCUGAGAACUUGAGCCAAAUCUUCUCAUGAGUUCUAUGUUUUCAGCAAUUGUUGACCCAGGUGUUCCAACAAAACCGAGAGAUGCACAGCUGCAUACAGUCUGCUCGACAUAAAGAAGUAAAUCUGGUAAUCUCUGACUGGAACAAUACUUUUUACCUAUUGUACUAUAUGAAUUUGAAAGGAACCUCUGUCCAUGACCGGCUGUCAUGAGUUUUAUAGCUGCUCGCUUAAUCAGCUUAUCAUUCUCAUUCAAAAAAUAUACCUUAUACUUAUGUUUCUCACUAACUAAAUCACCUAAGUAAGUAUCAGUCCAAUUAUCCCCAGGAAGAUCAGUCAUUAUAAAAAUAUGAACUGGUAGAGGGCCUUCCUUCCUCAAAGAUUCUAGUUUUUGCCUUAAUCCUUGAAAUGUAGCCUUUUGAUGAUUCUUAAACUGCCCGUCCAACAAUCUAAGUUGAGCACAAAGAAAUGGAGCCCUUAUGGUUUGUUUAACAAACUCCUUUCCAGCUAUCAAAAUUUCAGGGACAAAGGAAAGAAGUUUAAUCUUUUCCCCCAAAGAUAGAAAUCUCUGAUUCUGAUGAGACUCAUGGAUAUCCACAUAUAGUUCAGAACCUUUGUAUGUUGCAGAGAAAAGGGUUCCAAAUGCCAGCAGUGAGGCCGAUCCAGCUUCAGAACCAGGUCCUAGAGUCUUAAAUACAUCCUUCCGUCUCCUAACAUAUGAUAUUUUCUUUUUGUGCUUCAGUUGUUCAUCAGGUUGGAAUGAAUCUAACAUGCCGUCUCCAUGGCCAUCUUCAUGGUAAGUCCAUACUGUAGUUCUGCAAUCCUCAUUGACAGCAUAUAUACACUUUUCAAUACUACCAUGGAGUCCAGCUAGCAGAGAUCCACAUUGCUUAAGGCUUUUAGAAACAGAGGAAUGCAACUUUGUAUCUGUUAUGCAAGCCAAAUCUAAGCUGAUGCCACACCAUAUCGACACAAAAUCUCUAAAAUCAAUCACUCGAACAAGAGAGGAAGAAACUAAUGAUGAGAUGUCUAUAAUUUCAGCAAUGGAUAUAUACCUGCAAGAGAAAUGACUAAUUAAUUUAUACAGAAAAUAAAGUGAAAUGCAGUUUCAAAUAUAAAUUUUCAAUGAUACAGACACCAUGCAAGAAAGAUAUUCAUGCCCUUAAAUUUUACUUCCAAUGUUACAGCCAAUAUUAUUAUUAUGAUCUAAAACGGAAACUUCAACAAUCAUACAGGAACCAAAAAGCCAGCAACUAUUAGAAAUACUUUUGCAACGUAAAAUACUAAGAACAAAGUGGUCAGUAUCUGAUUGUCAUGGAAAUAGCUUAAAAUAUGACAAUGUACACUAAACUGAUCUGCUACAGCAGCCCUUUCACAGGGCAUGUUGUACUAUGCAUUGCUACAUUACUGUAACAGCAGUAUUUAAAACCCAGAAAAUCACAAAUCAUUAAUAGACAAUGUGUGGCAAAACUUACUAACCUUCGACUCUGGACAAGCUCAAUCACAUGAUCCCAAACAGAGAUCCGAAUAUCCUUUGGAUCUAAAACCCGAAACUUUGGACAGCUACCUAAAGCAACAGCAUGGUGAUCCAGAAUAGGUGGAACAACCAAAGUUCGAUUCAGUAUACCAGCCAUUAGAACGGCAUUCUUGAACUCUGAAAGUUGAUUGCUGAACCCGCUGUGUGGUGCAUACCACAUGAAUUUCUCCCCUAAGGUGAGGGCUUGGCUGGAGCAUUGAGGGGUAUGAGAUGUUGAAAUAUUGGCCAAUCUAGAGAACUGAGAAUUAGGUUUCACAUAGUAGUGAUACAAAAUCAAGAAGGAGAGGCAUAUGACAAUGACAGACACAGGAAUGAGCGGGAAUCUGUAAAGGGGUUUUCUUUUAGACAACAUUCUGGUUGGUGUGUCAGGAUUCAAAGUGUUCAUGGAUGUGCACUUGUAACACACAUUGAUAAAUUCCCCACAUUCAAGUAAUUUUGCAGAGAACAAUUGAGCACAAUAAUAAUCUGAAUCUUUCCCAUUCCUGAAACAAAUUCAGAAUAAAAGAAAAAAAAAAGAUUGUAAGCAGCAAUACCUACGACAAGAUCAAAUUUAAAAUUAAAAAAAAAACUAAUGUUAUCACUAAUAACUAAAGUACUCAGAAUUUAUAAUCUGAAACUUUCAUAUUCCUGAAAUAAAUUCCAAAUAAAAAUAACAAAAAAGAGUCCGCAAGCAACAAUAUCUACAACAAGAUCAAAUUUGAAAAAUAAACAGAUGUUAUCACUAAUGACUAAACUACCCAGAAUUUAUAAUCUUAAAACUUUUCCACUCCUUAAAUUCCAAAUAAAAAUAAUAAAAAGGAGUCCACAAGCAACAAUACCUAGACAAGAUCAAACAUUGAAACAUAACAAGAUUUAGUCACUAUGACUAAACUACCCUGAAUUUAUACUGCGAAACUUUUCCAUUCCUGAAACAAAAUUCCUAAUAAAAAUAAGAAAAAGGAGUCCACAAGCCACAAUACCAGCGACAAGAUCCAAUUAUCAAACAUAAAUUGAUGUUGUCACUGAUGAUGACUAAACUACCCAGACUUUCAUGUCCAAUUCUGUGCUUAUUGUGCAAUAGUGUAUGGCUUCUAGAGAACUGGCAUUGGAACAAAAGUAACAGAGGUUUCAGAGCAAGGGUAACAAAUGAGAAGACAGCAUGGUGUGAGUGAAACAAGCAUAAUCGCGUGUGUGAGUGUGGAUGAGAAGAUGGUGUUCAGGUUGGGUAGCUUAGGAGGUUGUGUCUCACUAUAUUUGGGCUGGCCUGUGGCUGUUGUUUUUUCAGGUAAUUUAAAGAUAUUGGGACAAUCCUAGUUAAAAGCUUGAUACUCAACAAUCGUCAUAAACAAGACAUAAAAAAUUAACCUGAUAUAAUUAGUCAUAGGGAAUCAAAUAGUGAAACAUGGCAUUUAUAGCUUAGUACUAAAACUCAUAAGGUGAUAAGGAUGCAUUCUUCUAGUUAGAGGUCAUCGUCAUAUAGAACUUCUCUUUGUCUUUGGAUUGCUUUCUAUUAUCCCCUCAUCAUUAUUAAUUGUACUCUAGAUAUCUACACCCACUGUUUUUAAUACAAUUUUUGCCCUGGACUGCUGUAAGUUGUGGAAGAUCAUUCACUAAGUUGAUCGUCAUGUUGUAGUGAAAAUUACUCGACAUGCUUCAAGUUGGGCAACUGGAGAAGGAUGAAAAAUAUGCUCCAUUAUAUCAGCUUCUUAAGAUUUUUCUUAACCAAGGCUAGAUGCAUACUUACACUAUCAUACUGCAAAUUCCACCUAGUUGAAAAGCUAUGAUAAAAUAAAACCAUUGAUAAGUAACUAAUAUUCAUCAAUAGUCACGUGCUGAUGUUUUAGGCCUUGAACAUGAAGAAUGCAUUUCCAAAAUGAGGCUGGUGCCAUUGGUGGAUCUGAGCUCUGAUGGUUCUUGCCAAGUUCCAUAUGAACUUAAUAUGGACACACUUCAGGUAAAACUGAAUUUUAUUUCUAUGUUUGUAUUUGUGUUCUUCCUAGCAUAAUCGAAUGUUGCAAUGUCUUGUUCAGAUCAAUGAUGACGAUGUGGAACUAUGGGUGGUUAAAGCCAUAACAUCCAAAUUAAUUGACAGUAAGAUGGACCAAAUGAACCAAGUAAUAGUUGUUACCUCAAAUUCUAGUCCCUCUCUGCAUCCCACUGGCUUACUCUACACUGAAGGCACAUGAACAUGUUGGCCUUAAUUACAUUACUAAGCUUCAUAUAGAUUCCCUCAAUUUGAAAAUUCAUUUAGCUACUAUACACGAUUUAAUGCAAAUGCUAAAUACGCAGUCAUCUCACUGAUCGCGCAAUGGCAUGCACUGAGAACUAAGCUAGGUUCUUGUUUAUACUUUUCAGCCAUCCUAGGACGAGUUUUCGUUCACUGGUUACCUCGGAUGGAGAAUCGUUUUUUCACAGGCUCGAGUGAACUCGAGCAAAAAAGCUACACUGGAAUUGUUCGUUUCUAGGUCACAAUUUAUGCAGAACGCACCUGAGUAACAAUUGCUGCGGUUCACUGGUUCUCUCUUGCAAGUUUCUGUUCGUUUUGGGUGUUGAUGUUGCGUUCUCCAACAGCACCAACGGAUCUGUGUUGAUGUCUUUCUCAGGUGGUUCUGCGUUUCCACCUUCUCCUUUGAAGUUCUCCUCAACACCCUCUACAAUCUCUAUGCGAUCUCACUGCUCCUCCCUUUUCUAUCUCUCCCUAUUUUGGAUCGUUGGCCCUCAUUUUAAUUCCAACAAACUUUAUAUAUAUUUAUAUAUAUAUAUAUAUUAAUACAAUCGAAUAUUUUGUCAUUUUAUAUUAAUUAUUUAAAAAUUAAUUUUUUUUUAAAUUUUUUAAAUUAAUAUUAAUGUACUGUUUUAUAUUAUUUUCAUUUUUUUCUUAAUUCAUUAUUUUAAGGCAGUAAUAGAAAAAAAAAAUAUACUCUCACACAUUUUCAUACUAACUCUUACAUAUAAAAUAAAAUAAUCUCACUCUAAACUUAUCUUAUAUUUCUAUUAUGGUAAAAAUUAAGUAAAAGAGAAAAAUAUAAAUAUAUAAUCAAUGAAUAGUAAAAUAAUAUAAAAAGUUAUUAUAUUAUAAAUAUAGUAAUAUAUAAUAUAAUCAAUGAAUAGUAAAAUAAUAAAAAAAGUUAUUAUAUUAUAAAUAUUUUAAUAUAAUUUUGAAUUAUUACAAAUACUAAUGAUGAACUUCUAUCUUGAACAUACUUUCUUUUAAAUACAAAAAUUUUAUUUUAUUUUAUUUAUUAAAUUAGACUUUUUUUUAUUGAUUAAAAGGAGUUGUAAUUGUUCUAACAUAUUAACAAUGGGAGUUAUUGAUCUCUUUUCUCAUAUUUUUUUCUUAGGUAUUCUCAUAUGGAUUAUGUAGUGAUAAUAAUAAAUGGGCCAAGGCCAAAAAUAACAUAACUGAAUAAGGGUUUUCGUACUAAAACUGAUGCAAUUAGCUUUUCUUAUUAUCAGAAUCGGUAAAAGAAAUUUAACUAUCACUAUGGAUAAGUUAUGUGUCAUUGGUAGUAUAUUAUUUGAAAGAAAUUUUGAUGUUGUUUCAUCAAUUGGAGUUAUAAUUGGAUAUAAUGUAUAAAGUUAGAAUUGAGAAAGUUGUAUAGUUUGUACAAGACUAGGAUUUAAUUUGAAUGUAUAUGGGUGAGGUAGGACUUUAUUAUAAAACAAAAAUAACUAAAGUUGUGUAUGGAUGUGAUAAUUUUAGUUUUUUUUUAUAUUGAAAUCGUGUUUCAUCCACGUGAUUUUGAUUUGAAUUAUUUUUUAUUGUUUGAGUAUUUAAUAAAAAUAUAAAAUAUUGUUGAAUUGAGUUAUUAAAAUUUUUAUAAAUUGGUAAGUUUCAUAUAUCUUAAAUUUGUAUGAUUUGUUUAAUUUUGGAAUUAAUAUUUGAAUAACUUUAUUUUAUGUGUUAGAAUAAUAGAAAAUUGAAUGUAUCAUAUGUUUUGAAAAAAAAACAUAAAUAGAAGAAAAUAAGAAUGUUAGAUGAAAUAAUGAGAUUUAAAUAAAUAAUAUGAAUAAAAAUGUUACAAAUGGUGACAUAUUAUUUUCUAUGUGGACAAUUGUUCAUAUUAUGAACUUCAUGAUAAUAAGAACAUUUUAUUUAUUUAUUUGGAAUUAGCUUAUCCAUUUUAUUAUGGAUACGAUUAGUUGUUGAUCUACCUUAUUCCUUAUGUUUCAUAUGGGAUCAUGAAUGAAAUUCGAUCAUAUAUAAGUACUCCAAUAAUUCUUAUUCUAAACUAGUUGAAAUUGGACCUGGUAAGCCUUGUAUAUUGGAGACCAUAAACAUCAUCAAUAAAGGUCAUUUUUGGCAAAUGACAGUAUGAACAAGUAGCCAUGACAGGAGGAUAAGGCAACGAAAGGCUUGAAAUUCCCUGCAAUCACACCAUUAAUCAUUUAAUUUAAUUGUAUAUAACAUAUGUUAAAGUCCAAGUUGGGGAGAGACUAUCUCCUGUAGAUCAAACUCUAAAUUAUCUCAAUUAUAUCUAUGCACAUGACACAUGAUAAAUUAUUGUUCAUUUUUUCUUAUUAAAACAAUAAUAUCUUCAAGAUAAUGAUGACUUGCUCGUAACAUAUAAGCUGACUUGGUCCCUCGUUCAACAAACCAUGAAUUCAUUAUUUCAAAGGUUGUCUAAGCAAGAGCACAAAUGGACAAGGAUUGUGUUCCCUUCAAAACAUAAUUCAUGCAUUCAACGAGAUUUGUUGUCAUAUGUGUGUACCUUGUGCUCCCUAUCACAUGCUUGAGACCACUUUUCUAAUGAUAUUUGAUCUAUCCACGAAACAACUUGUUGGAAUUGUAACUGUAUAGCGGAUAACUUAGUUUGAAGAGUUGGUUGUUUCAUUUCAUAACUUGGGACAAUUUAAUAAAUAAAGUUACAUAAACAUUUGAAAUUUUGUAAUGAUGUAUAAUGAAAGUUAAGGGAUGAUCAUACCCAUGUUUAUUAGUUGUCUUUUCAACUUUGACACUUUGACAUUUUGAACUUCUUGUUGAAGUUCGAUGCUAUUAGUGAAUGCAAUACACUAAGACGAGACCAUCUGCUUCCCAAUCGACUUUUAUAGAUGGUAAUGUUGAUAAUAUUGUUGCUUCUUUGUCAGUAACAACCAAUUUUGGUGAGGUGUGACGUAUAGUCAACAGUUGGAGAACCAUAUCAUAGCUUCCUUUUUCUCACCUUCAACGUUUAUAAAACUUAAAGAAAAUAUGUUUUGGUUGUCGUCUUGACCAAUUACAGUCAACAAACUGUCAUGAUAUUUUCCCCUCAGAAAUGCUUCAUCAACUUGAACUAUUGACUUGAAACAUUUGAAGUCGUCAAUGCAUGGUUUGAAAGACCAGAAGACACAUUCUAAGAUGUCAUAGGAGGUGUUUUAAACACCGUCAAUAACAUAAGGACGAGUAACAUAUUGUAUUCAUAUCACUUUGUUGAACAACUUGUAAUCAUCUUGGAAGAUGAUUAUAUGAGUCAUCCCAGUUGUCGAAUUCCAUUAAAGAGCCUUAUGUCUUGUCUGUUAGAAUGGAUGACUUUAAACUAGAGGGGGGGUGAAUUGUUUAAAGAGGGUUUUUGCAAACUUUUAAAACAAGAAUGAAAUUAUCUCAAGAAACAAUUGAUAAGAAAUUCAGUUUGCCAAAGCAGCAAUAAAAAAACAACAGUACCAAAAAAACAAUCGGUUGUUUAUACCAGCAAACAACAAACAAAACUGAAUUUAAAGAGUUAGGGAUAGAGAGAUUGCACACAGAUGUUUAUACUGGUUCACUCCAAAUCCAGAGCUACAUCCAGUCUUCUCAAAAACCCUGAGGAAAUCCACUAAGCAAUCACACCUUGAUCACUUACACCACAACCAAGAAAGUGACCUUGAACACCUCAAGACACACACUCUUCUUGGCCAACACACCAACACUAAGAUUGCUGAUCUUGAUCCCCUCAAGAACACACAGCCAAUCUCAGCAAAACACAUAAACGAAAACUUGUUUCACAGAGUACAAGGAUUACACUUGUUACAAAAGAUAAUCUGAAAUCAAUACAAGCAGAAUCCUAUUCCACAAACUUUGAUCAAUCACAAACUUUCCGCAAUCUCAGCUCUUUGAAAAACUCAAAAACUCUUAGCACAAAACUUGUCAAAGAUUCAUUCUCAAAUCUGUUUUUCUGAAUAUAUUCAAAGAUAUAGUUUGUUAUCAAAUCUUAACGAACUCUUAAAUUGCAUUAAAAGAUUGGUCAAAGCAUUUAAUGACUGGAGCGUAAGCAGUUAAAUCAUUUAAAGCUCAGUCAAAGAUAAAACAGUUUUUCUGUUAUGGUCCCAAAACAAACAAUCGGUUGUUUUCACGAAUCAAUCAAUUGUUUUGGUUCUAACAGUUCAACCAUUUUGAAAAACAGUUUUCAAUCUUUUCUUAAAACAUCUAAGUAUAAACAAUCGGUUGUUUCGACAAAAUAAUCGGUUGUUUUAACUUAGUUUGAAAACAUUUUACUUUCACAAAGAUUGAGAAUGCCUAUGCUUUAGAUUCAAUCAAAGGGUGGAUUACAACACUCAAACUACCCCAGAACUAGACUAAACCAGCACAACAACAGCAAGCACAACCAAGGCUUCAACAUCCUUCAAAGGGUUUGGAUUCUUCAAAGCUUGAACACCACUUAGUUCAACAUUGUAAUCCAAUCUUUUUUUGCAACUGAAAAAAUAACCAUGACAGGUUUUUAUUUAUGCAAUUAAACGUUUAAUUGGAUGGAAGGAUUUGUCUUGACCAAAUUGACCUCAAUGGAAGCAAUUUGGUUGAAUCCAAAUUUACAUGAUCAUUGGAAAGCACGGUUGACAAACACGUGUAAGGUGCUUCAAUUUACUGAGAUCGAAUUUUGCUAAAAGAAGAUCAAAGUCGUUAUUGACAAUUGUUGUCACACUAGAUGUAUCGUGCAACAUAUUUGUUUGUCUUUGAUUCAAAGACCAAAAAUUUGUACUCAUGGUCAAUGUGAAUUGCUUUAUCACAUUCAAUGUAACCUAUUUUGUAUUGAAGCACAUCCUUUCAUAAAAAGGUCAUAUUGAAUAUGGUGGCCUAACCAACUGAAGGAUUUAAAUUAUUGGUUGACAUAUGGAGAAACCAUCAUCUUGCGAUAUGAGUAUUCGUCUUCCUCUUCGAACUUAAAUUCCAUUACCAAAUCUCUUAUGAUUGGUUUAUCCUCAAUAUGUAGAAAUUGUUCUUUUGCCAUUGCCAAAAUAUAAAAAAUUAUCAAUUCAAUUUCCAAUACAACAAGCAUUACUUACUUGAAUUAUACAUAUAUUUGUGCAAUUCAAUACGAAGGUUGUGAUUCACUCUGGUAAGGCUUCACCCAUACUUGUUGAACCCUCUCAAGAAGAUGUAGUUGAAAUGAGUUUAACUUUUGUGUUAUAUAAUGUGAAGAAGAUUUACUUUAGGCCUUGUGUUUAUGUGUGGUUGAUUGAUUAAGGUUGACAAAAUAUUUGUGUGUAUAGGGAGGUCUUCACUUUUUAUGCUUAAGUUCAUUGAUAAAAUACACCAUUCAAUUCAAACACACGCAUACACACACAAAAACACAAUCCACACAUUACAACAAAGGAAUGUAUCUUCAAACCUUGGACUUAUACUCACUCUGUGCAUAUUCAUUGCCCCAUCACCUCCCUAACUCGUCAUGAAAUUGCUUAUUGGAAUCUUCAUCGAGCAAGAUACCGCAUCAAUGCUAAUUCUGUGAAAUUUAUAAAAAAAACAGAACAAUCAAAAUUUCCAAAACAGAAAAAAAAAAUCACAUUUCAACGCAACGAUAACGAAAGACCAAACAAUGGAACACACUCACCUCAAUCAGUUUUGAAGUCCAAUAGAACUCGCUUCACUUUGAGAGGGAAGGGAACAAAAGUAGGAAAUGAGAGGGAAGAGAUGAAAAAUGAGAGCUUAGGUUUACGCGGGGAAAAAGAAGAAAAAAGAGAUUAAAAAAAUGAAGAAAAAUGGAAGUGGUAAAAAAAGAGAAGAGUGCAUGUGGAUUAUGAUAGUGUGUGAUGAGGUAGAGGGAGAGAGAGAAAUGGUCAAAAUUUUGGGGUUUUGAGGUAUGGGAUCUAAAGGAAAAUAAAGUAAUCUCCCAAUUUUGAGAUAGAGGGACACAAAGGUAUGAUUCAUUUUAAAUUCCAUCUUCACCUUUUCAUACACAUUUAUUUAGGUGAUUCAUAUAUACUUUUUCAUUGUGAAGGUUGUUGCCGUAAGUAUUUUCAUUAUUUAGUUCAUGAACAUUUUGGCAUUGUAAAAGUUUCAUUGUUGGAUUAAUUUGUACAUGUUUAGAUUAAAGUUUAUAAGCAUAAGUUUAAAUAGAAGUAUGUUUUAAUACCAAGUUUGAUAAACCUUUGAAACUUAACGAAGGUAAAAAAACCUCUGUUAUUUUGCCGAGGUUUUAGAAUAAACUUUUGGACUUAACGAAGGUUAAAAAAACCUCCAUUAAUUAAAUUAAUUUAUGGGGUUAAUGUUUAACAUACUUAUUGUUUAACAUACAUACAUGAGCACACACAUAACUACCAAUGCAAUUACUCAAACACGUAAUACAUUUGAUAACCUCUAACCGAAACAAGUUUUCUAUCAAACCCAUUGAAAUUAUACAUUUUGUCAUUAUUUUUCACUUACUCAUGUUUCUGACAUGUCUUGACAAUUUUUAUGGACUCCUUAUGGGUACAAUAAAGUUAGUUGUCUCAUUGCUAUUGACAUUUCUCUUAUAAGUUAGAAAAUUGUUCCUCUUACUUAUUUUACAAUAGUUGAAUUUCAUUAAGUUGAUAAGGUUAGUACUUUGAGUUUCGCCAAAGUAUUUCAACGACCCAUUAAACCUAGAUCAUGUGCACAAAAAGGAUAGGAGAUGAAUAACUAAUAGAUAUUGACCACGAUAUCAUAAAUGGUGGGUCGCAAUGUGGAAUAACCGACAUAAUCGACUAAUUGAAAUUUAGUUUAAUGAAAAUGGUUGCUUGCGUGAUAAUACACAUUACACACAAUGAUACAUUGGACUUAUUAUUCGCUACAUUACACCUUUAUAACCUACAUUUGACAAUGAUACAAGUUUAUUUUACAAUUAAUUUACUGUUUUAUUUUUAUUCAACCUAUACUAAUAAUUAUUUUUCCAACAGUAAGACAUAUCACACCACACCGAACAACCUCAUUCAAAGCCCCUUCAUCAUCAUAUUGGAUCUUCUUCAAGUGUUCAACACGAAACUUUUGGUCAGUCUAGUUUGCAACCAACUAAAAUGUUCAAAUAUAUGGACUAUUACCACAACAUGUUUUCCUAAUUUCCGUACCAACAAAUUCCUUCCACUUACACGACUUUUCCAUCUCAACCAAUUAAUUUUUUAUGGUCCAUUAAACAUGUUUGACACUUUCAUCCACAUUUUUUCAAGUAUCAUCCAUGCAUUGUUACUGUCCCAUGAUGCCAUGAGUCCGAUAAUCCAACUAAGGACAACAAAGGAGAACACAAUGAUGAUACUCCACCACCCUUGCCUCCAAAUAUAUCUAUCAAACAUGACCCAUAAGAACAACCUCGAAGACAAAGAAGAAACCUUCCUUAUGACACAACAUCUCAUUGAUAGUUUGUUUCACUUAUAUAAUAACAACAAUUUCAUUAUCAAAUUUACAUUUCAUGUGAUUUUUAUUACUUAAUCUAAUUCUCUUAUUUGAAAUUCUUCACACCUUUUUCAAUCAGCAAAAUAAAUAUACAUCCAACAAAGUAUUAUAAUAUUAUAAUUUUUAACAAACUUUAUUACAUAUUUUUUAACAUAAUUUAUUAAAUAUAUGCAAAAUAAAUUUCUAAAUAAAUUUUUUAAUACAUUAUUGUUUUAAUUAAUAUAUUCAUACAUACAUCAAAUGUUACACAACAUUUUAAAUAAUUUACCUAUUCAAGCUUAUUAUUGAGAAACAUUAUAUUUUUUUAAAUUUAUCCUAAACACAUUACAAAAAAUAAAAUAAAAUCAAAAAAUAAAAUCGUGUGGGUGUGAUACAACUAUAAUGUAAAACAAAAACAACUGAACUCCUCAUAAUGUUUUACCCACACAACUUAUGUUAAACCCUGAACCUAUGCUAAUUAAAGUCGUGUUUAUACUACAUGACUUUCUGAAAUCUAAUUUUGUUCUAAAGUUGUUAUAUUCAAUCACAACUUCUUCAUUCAAUAUUCAUUCACAUUAAAGUCGUGGACCAACAUGACAACUUUCUUCAAAUAAAGUAUUGUCAACAAAAUAUAACUUACAUAUUCUAGUAAAAAUGAAAACGAAUUGCACCAUUUUGAUACAAAAAUCGAACUAAGAGGAAUGAUGAACACAAAACUUGAAAGUUAUUAAUUAAUUAAGAAAGGAAUGGUUAAUUAUUAAUAAUUAUAAUAUGUGUCUUAUGAAAAUACAUGUAUUCAUUUUUUUUCUUAUAAAAAUAAAAAGUAAUUUUUUUUAAUUUUUAUCAUAAUUAUUAAAAUUGAGUAUAUUUUUUAUUUUUAUUACAUUAAAAAUAUAUAAAUUUAUUACUUUAUGAAGAACUAAUUAAAAAAUAAAAAAAUAUAUAUACAUAUAUAAUUUUGUAAAAAUAGUAUUAAAAAAUGUAAUAUCUAAAAAAAGUAUUUAAUUAUUUAAAAAUAAGAAGUUAUUCAAUUUGUUGUUUUAAAUAAAUAAAUAAAUAAUUUUUUAUUUAUUAGAAGGUAUCUAAUAAAUGUAUCUUUAUUUAUAGAUAAUUAUUAAAAUAAAAUAUAUUAUUAAAUUAUAAAAAAUGUAAUUAAAAAUUAUAGUAAUUUUUAUAAUUUUAUUUUAGGUAGUUUUUAUUUAUUUUGUAGUUAGUUUUUUUAUUGUAGAUAAGUAUUUUAGUUUAAAAAAAUAAAACGGUAAGAUAUUUUAUAAAAGAAAUUAUAAUUUUUUUACUAAUGUCGUGGAUAAAAAAUAUUAUUAAAUUUAAAAAAUAUAUUAAUAAAAGAUAAUUAUAAAAUAAAUAAUUUUAUUAGAAAUAAUAUUUCAUUAUAGUAAUCAAUUAAAUUUAAAAAUAAUAAUUAUAAAAUUUAAAGAAUAAAAUAAAUCAUAUUAAAAAUACUAGCGAAAACAAGUUAUUUUACGAAUAUAUUCAAUUUUUUAUUUUUAUCAUUUAUAUAUAAAAUAAUUAUUAUAAAAUUUAAAGACUAAAAUAAUAAAAUAAAUCAUAUUAAAAAUGAUAAUUACAUAAAGGUUAUUAAAUUUAUAGAAUAUUAAUAUUAAUUAUUAUUAAUUAACUCAAGAGUGAGUUAAUAAGGAGUUUUUUUGGUUACUAACACCUUCUUCUUCCUUUCUUCUUCUGUGCUGCGGGUUCCUUUGUAACCUCUCAGAGUCUCAGUAACAGAAACAAUGACGACUGUGGUGCCAACCUCAGAAGAAGACGCGGCGCUCUCUGUCGUUCGAUUCGCUUCCGAACUCGCUUGGGCCGAUGCCGGUCCUGAGGUAUUUUCCUUCCUUACCCCCAAACCCUUAUUCUUUGUUUUUCCUUCUCUAGACUAAUUUUAAAUGGUUCCAUUUUUUGCUUAUUUCUUUGCUUCGUUAUUAUUUCAUCGCAAAGGCAAAUUGUUUGUGGGACUUGAAAUUGAAUCUGAGUUUGUGAGACACGGUGCCUUCUGAAGGUGAAUUCAAGUAGUUGGGUUUGUGUGAAAAUGCUUUCUGUAUCGUUAUGUUGUGGAAGUUUCCCAGAUUUGUGUCCAUUUUUGGAAAAUGAAAGGGUGGGAAUGGUUAUGUAAUUGUUAGAUUCGUUUGAUAGGUUGAAUGGAAAAGAGAAUGGUUGUGUGUUCACACAAGAAAAGAUAGAAUAAAAAAUAACUAUACGCGAGGAGGUAUUAUUGAUGUCACACUGAUUGAACAAUAGAUACAGAAAAUCGUUUACUGAGUAGAUUGCAUGCUUUUAGUCUCGUAAAGAAGGAGACUGAGGGACCAUGAAAGACACUGGAGGAAGUUGUUAAGAGGAAUCCCAUGGUAAAUGAUAUCUCUAAAGAUUUGGUUUAAUGUCUAAAAUGGUGUCGUGUGAUAUAUGUUGCUAACCUCACCUAAUGGGAUAAAAGUUUUGUUGGUAAUGUUAUUGUGAUUUAUAUUGAGGAGUACUAGGAACAUACUCUUCCUAACACACUCUCUCUUGUUGGUUAAAAUUUUACUGAAAACUACAAAGUCAGGAGAGAUAGUCAUUAAAUAAGUUGUGAGACUCAUCAAAUUUUGUGAGUUCUAAUAAAUUUCAAUCAAUGGAGAGAGUUUGUUCCUAGCAUUUCUCUCUUUUUUCGUAUUUUCAGGGUUUGAUGUUACAUUAUUUUGUUCUAUUUCUUCUCUGUGCACUCGUGUCUUUUAUGAUGUUCUUAAGUUGGUGCUUGUAUUAUUUGUGAAUUUAGUGCUUCCCAUAUUGGUUGGUCAGGUUGCUGAGCCACAAGUUAGUAGACUCUGCAUUGAGGCUCAAGAGUUCAUUGUUAUGGGAAAGUGGUUGGAGCUAGCAUCAUUGAUGAUUACCUCUGCUGAAUUGAUUUUCUCAAAGGUUUCGGAUAAAGGUAGAAUGCUCUUUUGUGCCACUUCUGGUAUUGUAUUCAUCUUCCAUUUUUGGUUUGGUUCUAGUUCCAUAGAUAAAAAACACAAAUCACUUACAAUGUGUAUUUGUUAUGCAAUCAUCUGAGCUGGAUCUUUUGCCAACUCGGCUACUUUGGUUUAUUAUGGCAUUGUUGAUGUGUGAUCAUCUAAUCCUUUUUUCUUGAUUAUGUUGCAUUUGUGGCUCCUUUUUUGGGUGUUGCAUUUCUCGUUUUCUUGUUUAGAAUCAAAUUUGUUGUUGCACACAGAACUGCUCAGGGUGAUAGAAUACUGUAAUUUUACCAGCGUAAUGCGAGUGCUAACAAGUUUUUCUAUUUCUUAAUAGCAGAUAUAGAGUCCAUCUUCACUAUAAUCUGCAAUCUUGUUACAAAGACUGAGAGUACAGAUGAAGUAAUGGAGAUUGUAAAAGUUAUAACUGCAAAAAUAGUUCAGCAGCCAAACGAAAAGCCUGUCGUGCGAUUGAAGAUGUAAUAUCAGAUGCUAAUUGGUUUAACAGUUUUGGUAUGCAUGCUAUUGUAACUAUUUAUAUUAUUGAUUUAAAAUAGAUUCUCUUUUCUUUUACAGUUUGAUCAAUCUGUACAAUCUUUUGGAGACUCCAUACUGCCAGUUUUAUGUCUACAUGAAGGUAUUGACUUUAGCUGUUGAUGGGAAAGUCACAGAAUACAUUAUACCUUCAUUCAAAAAGAUGGACCGCUUCUUGAAAGACUGGAAAAUUGGGAUACCUGAACAGAGAGAGCUCUUUCUCACUCUCUCCAAUAUUUUGAAGGAAAAUAAAAGGUACAGCUGAAAUGAAUUCCUAUUUAGCUCAAUUUUAUGUAUGUUCUCCUUAUCUCUCUUUGGAGGGAGAGUACUACUUAAGUUUCUUCCCGUCAGUAUUACUGUGCUCCCUUGAGACAGAAAUCUUGUAUCCAUCUUUCAAUCUCCAUUUUUUAAUAUAAAUAAUUAGUACUGCAUCUCAUUUUAUCUCAGCAUGUCAAAGGAUGCUUUUAAGUUCCUGACCAAUUAUCUUGCGACUUUUGUGGGAGAAGAUGUGCAUGUUUUGAGUGAAGCCAAGGAGGAGGCCGCACGUGCAAUUGUGGAAUUUGUGAGGGCACCUGAUAUAUUUCAGGUACUUUUUUAUUGUAAUCAUGUAUAUGUGUGAUAUUUGAAAGGUUUUAUGAUCUUACUGCUUCAGCUACCUACAUUCAAUUAUUUUUAGGAGUUGCCAGUUGUAAUAUCAUCACAUGUUUUUUCAAUUGCUUCCUAUGCUUAGGUGCUUGACUUUCCAGUCUUUGUGUGUGUGUAUAAUUAGACAUAGAGGUAUGAAACAGUGAACCAUGGUGAUUUAUUGCUUUUUACUAAAACUCAUAAGGUUAUUGGGAUGUUUUCUUCUUGUUAUAGGUCAUCAUUAUAUGGAACUUCUAUUUGUCUUUAGGUUGCUUUAUAUUAUCCCCUCAUAAUUAGUUGUCCUCUAGAUAUCUAUGCCCACUAUUUUUAAUGCAAAUUUUGGCCUAGACUGCUGUAAGUUCUGGAAGAGCAUUCACUAAGUUAAUUGUCAUGUUGUAGUGCGAUUUACUGGACUUGCCUGCAGUUGGGCAACUGGAGAAGGAUGACAAAUAUGCUCCAGUAUAUCAGCUCCUUAAGAUUUUUCUUACCCAGAGACUAGAUGCAUACAUAGACUAUUAUGCUGCAAAUUCCACCUUGUUGAAAAGCUAUGGUAAAUACCAUUCAUAAAUUAUUCAUGUUCAUCAAUAGUCACAUGUGUAGGGCUCUGUUCUACUUAAUUUUACUAUCACAAUGUUUUCAUGUUUUAGGCCUUGUACAUGAAGAAUGCAUUUCCAAAAUGAGGCUGGUCUCAUUGGUGGAUCUUAGCUCUGAUGGUUCUUGCCAAAUUCCAUAUGAACUUAUUAGGGACACACUUCAGGUAAAAUUGUAUUUGAUUUCUAUGCUUGUAUUUGUAUUCUUUCUAGCAUAAUCAAAUGUUGCAACGUCCUUUUCAGAUCAAUGAUGAUGAGGUUGAAAUAUGGGUGGUUAAAGCAAUAACUUCCAAGUUAAUUGACUGUAAGAUGGACCAAAUGAAUCAAGUAAUAGUUGUCAGGUAUUUUCUACCUCAAAUUCUCGUCUCUCUGCACCCAACUGGCUUAAGCUGAUCUGGGGGCACAUGGACAUGUUAGCCUUAAUGAUUUCUAUUCAGCAUCAUAUUCCCCUCAAUUUGAAAUUCAUUUUGCUAUUAUACAUGAUUUGAUGCAAGUGUUAAAUGUGCAGUCAUCCUACUGAUCGUGUGUUUGGCCAGCACGAAUGGCACGCACUGAGAACUAAGCUAGGAUCAUGGAGGGUAAAGAAUUUCUUGUCUAUAAUUUUUAAUCGUCCUAUUUUUGUACAUCCAUUCACAUAAUAAGUAUUGCCUUGAAUUUAUGAUCUGUAAUAUCAUGAACAAUAUUUGACUUUAAGAUUUUAAAAGCCUGUCAGUUUGAAUUAUGCUGCAAAUGGGAAAGUUGGACUGUUUUACGAAUAAAAUUAUCCCCUGAAGGUGUUUUUUAUUCAUUCCAUGUCUGGAAUAUUGGUGGUGCAUACAAUUUUAAUUAUUAUUUCACUAGUUUUUUUUUUUCUGGACAAUGUUUGUUUAUGCUUAAAUAUAUGAUGCGAUUUGUUCUUGAUGAUGGCUGUGCAGUUAAUGACAUUUUGAUUGUUGAGUAACUCGAUGAAAUAACAUUGCUUCUACACGCAUAACAGGUUUCUGAUUGGCUAUAUUGUGUAAUUACUUGUUUCCUUUUUCCAGGGAAAUAUUGCAAAUGUUAUCAGUACCAUUCAGGCCAACAAAAUAACGGAGGAUGGGUCUCAGACAGCCCAAGGUUUGGUAGUUCGGUGAGGACGUUGUCAACCGAAACAAUUGUCUGAAUUCUAUUCAGGUGGGAAUUUUUUAAUUUUAAACGGAGGAAAAUUGUAAUUUUUGUUACAAGUUUUCAAUUUAUUUUUGUUUAGUUGGUAGGUGACUCUAAUUGUACUACCCAACUUUGACAUAGAAGCCAUUUUGAUUGAAGUUUUUUCCAUUUGUAUGUUAUGUUGGCCACCUCAGAGUAGAUUAUACCUGUGGAUUGUGGUCCUAGAAUCAAAAUAUGAUCUUUGUGGACAUAUCUCUCCAUAAUAUCUUAUAAGAGGAAAACAAUAUAGAAAAGUAAAAAAGAAAAAUUAGUUUAUACGUUAGUUAAAUCAUUUGUUUGUGUUGAUUAUUGUGGUCCUAGAAUCAAAAUAUGAUCUUUGUAGAUUAUUGUGAUAUUGCAAUUCAACUUGGAUGUGAAGCGUAAGCUCUACUAGGAUGUAUUUGACUCACUUGUUUGUGAUGAACAAUGUGCAUUACAUUGUACAGAAGGUGAGGGAGAUUGUUUGAUUGACGGGAUAGUAAAAUGUGUUUAAUUUUUUAAUUUAGAUGAUACAAUGAAUGGAAAGAGAAGUUCAAAUUGAGUUGUAAAAAUUGAAAUUAAACCUUGGAUCUAUGAAAGAUUAGUGCACGAAGAUAGAAUUUACUUCUUUUAAAAGAUGACAAAACAACUGAAGGUCGUUAUGAGAAAGACUCUAUUUACUCAACAAAUUUUUAUAAUAUAACAAUAGCUCAAAAACUUAUAAACGACUUGUUAAUUUAUAUUUCUUAAUUAACGAGUUUAUUGUGUAUUUAAACUUGUUUCGAGAAAUAUAUCACUUAAACUUUUAAGUUUUUACUUUCUUUAAAUUUUUAGCUUGAAUGAAAUGUCCUUUUAGCUAAAUUUGGGUUAACUUAAAAGCCACAAAAAUACUUUUAUAUCAAGGAUAGAUUUUAUUUCAUAGUCUCUCAAAUAGAUACUUAUUAAUAAAUAAGUGAACUAGAUAUUUCAGUUGUUAGUAUAUUAAUUUUUAUUACAUGGGACUUAAACUCAGAAUCUAUCCUUCUCUCCACUUUUCAAUUUUAUAUUUCCAUUAGUGAGUAACAAAUAAUUUACAAAUUAUUAUUUUUCUAAAAAUAUAUGAAAAGAGUUAUUUUUCUGUGAUUUCUGUAUUGAGAUUAUUAAGAUCCAUAAAUCUCAAUAUUAUAAGAAUUUUUUAAAUCUGAAUUUAAGUCUUGACCAUGAAAUCAGAACUCAACCUUUUAAUGUCAAUUAUUUUAUCAAUUCCAUAGAAUUGCAUGAGUUUUACUCAAGACAAUUAAAUUUAAUACUUCACAUUUUAUUAGAAAACAGCUAGCUCUUUACAUAAAGAGCAUUUGCAUAUCCGUUGCAACUUUUAUCAAUUCAUACAAUAAGUUACUUCAUUGUAAGUCUUGUUUUGUCACUUCUAUGUUGUUUGUUAUCACAUUAACUUGGUGUGAUCUGUCUCUGUUCUCAAAAUUCUGAUAUAAUUUACAGAAUUCUGAUAUAAUUCUGAUAGAAUUGCAUGAGUUAGCCUUGAACACAACUCAGAUUUGCAAAUUUAUCAAACAAACAUGGAAAACAAAAACUCCAGAAAUUCCUGCAGUUAAUGCACAUUUAUUUCUCAGAAACUUUUCCAUCUCACAGGAAUUAUUCCAUAUAUAUCAACAUUUGAUAAGCUUGUAGUACAAAUGAUACACAAUAAUACAAUCAGCACAUAAGCAUUAGUUAUUACAUACAUACAGCAUCAGAUAUUAUGACAAAAACAUAAUGCAACAGUUGAGAUUAAUUCCAUGUGAUAAAGACUAUAAAAUAUGUUCUUAGCAACCUCUGGUGUAAUCAUCACAACGCUGUAUAGGGCCACCUCCAUUUGCAUCCGGCAAGCAGCUACGAUAACCCAGUAAUUCUGGACAAAAUACAGCUUUGUUGUUUCUGUUGCCUGUUUUGCCACACACUGACAGGCUCACAUCAUACAGCAUUCUGCUCACAUGGGAAUCAAAUGAGAACUCUGAUUCCAAGUUAUUGCCUAUGAAACCCUCAUACUUGGCGUUCACAACGUAAUAGCUGUGGAUCACAAUCAUCACCAACACUAAGGAGAGACCCUUCUUCAUUUUCUUGUGCCCUCUUUUGUUUUCUCACUCACAAACCACCUACAAGGCUAUGUGGUUUGCAAGGUAAGCUUGGCUCUCUUUAUAAGUUUAUAACUAAAAAAAGUUUAUGUAGAUAACCAAUAAGUCAUUGUUGUUAUUUUUAAUAGGGUUAAAUAUCUUUUUCUUUUUUUUAUGGUAUAUAAUACACAAUUGUUUUUUUUUAAGUCUAGAUUUCCUGAAUAUUUAUAAUAAGAAAACUAUUAGAAUAAGUAUUUAUAAAUGUCUUUUUUGUACGUAACAAACAAAUUUUCAAGCUGAAAUAUAUUAUAAUAUUAUAACAUUUAUGUCAAUUAUCAACAUGAAAUAUUUAAUAUUUUAAACUUAAAAUUUUGGUUCACACUGAAGAUUCGUUUGUCACGUAACAAAAUUUAGCAAUGAUUUAUUCUAAUAGUUUUUUUAUAACAAAUAUUUAAAAGGUCUAAAAUUUAUACUAGGAAAUUUUAUUUUUUUUUUGCAUAAAAGUACAUGAACGCAAAACAUAUUUAACCAUUUUUAAUAUUAUUAUUGUAAAGUAAGUAUACCUGAUUAUUAUAUACUACAAAUAUCUAAAAGGUCUAAAGUUUGAAUUAGAGAUGAAAACUAAUUUCGUGUAAAGGUAAAAAACAUAUUUAACAAUUUUUAUUAUUAUUAUUAUAGAGUAAGCAUACUCAUUAUUAUAUACUAUAAUUUGUGAUUAUAUGAUAAUAUACCAUUUAUUUGUAUUUUUCAAUAUAAAUAGCACUAUAGUGAUUAUUCUUAAUUAUACAAGAGUAUUGUUCGAAAAAUAGUUUAAAAAAUAUAAUUUAAAAUCAAAUAAGUAGUUGCGUUUUUGGAUAUUUUGGCAUUCUUGAGCUGGCUUCUUCCUUUUUCUUCUUCUUUAAUGGGGAGCUUUGCAUUUAUUUCUACUUGGCAAUGCACGUGUGUUGUCCUACUUCAAAACUUUUAUCUCAUAAUCCAUGCACGUGAGUUCAACUAAUUUAACUAAUUUCUCUCAUUUGGGUCUUUCACUCCCUAUUUCUUUUCCAUGUAAACUUUCAAGAGUGAUGUACUAUGUAGAUAUAGAUAUAUAACACUAUACGAAUACUUAUAUGGUGAUACGUAUAAUCUCUAAAAUGUAGGACACAGAUACACAAAUCUUUAUAUUAUAUAAUUAUAAAUUAUAUAAAUUAACAAUAAAGAUUCACAUGCAUUACUAUGUUUCAGUUUUUUUUAGUAGAAAGAUAUUUUGUAUGGUUGAUUCAAAAUUAUUUGUUUCUUAUUUUUAUAAUCAUAUUAAAAAUUUAUACAAUAAGUUUGAGUUUUUAGAAAAUUAAUGUAUUUUUUUUUCAAAUUUGUGUUAGAAGUGUCAGAAAUCCAACAAAUAUUUUUUGAAUUAGACACUUCAUCAAUACAUAUCCUACGAAUGUUAUACGAGUGUCGGUAUCAGAUACGUGUAUCCGACACAGACACGUCAUUUAAGAAAAGUGUCCAAACCUCAUAAGAUUGAUGUAUUAUGGAUUCUUUUACUUGUGACUAAGCACUCAUUUUGAUGUAUUAUGUUCAUUUCUUUUAGCAUUGUUGCAUAUUAUUAUUCACCAAUGAUUAAAACUGAUAGUAGCAUCAAACAAAAGGGAUAAAAUACUUACUAGUAUGUUUCACUAAAAAUGAUUAGUUUGGUUUUUAAUAGAAAUUAAUUAUAUGUAAGUCAGUAGAUACUUUCUAUCAAUAAUAGAACAAAGAAAUAUUUUUUUAAACCAACUCAUCUCAGUUUCAAAUUAAUUUUUCUACAUUCUAGUUUAGAAAAUUUAUGCAGUACAUUUUGAAGAUAUACUCAAGUUAUACUUUGAGUCAUUAACUCAGUUAAAAGAUUAACAUGAUUUUUAAAUAAUUAUAUUUUAAUCGUAUACUUUUUAAAAUUAAAUGAUAGUGUUAUAUAUUGCAUGGUAUUAUUUUAAUAUCGAUUAUUUAUAUUAAACACUAUAUCUAAGUAACUAAAAUCAGUUUCAAGUCUUAAAAUCUUUAACUAUAAAUCUCAGAUCCUUAAAAACUUUUUUAUUCUUCAAAUUUAACUUCCUUCCAUAUUGAAACCUAUAGUUAAUGAAAGUCAUCAAUGUGUUAAUGGAGCAAGAAGUGAUGCAAAUAAAAAAUCAAAUUCCCUCUUUUCGUUACUGUCACUACAAGAAAAUUAUCAAAUAAAACCAAUUUUUAGAGACCAAAAUAAUUAGUUACAAUAGUAACUAAAUUAGAGACCAUUUUAACUAUCAAUUAUUUAGUUUCUAAAUUUGGUAUGUAAAACCUUGGUUGCUAAUUAGAUACCAAUUUAUAAACAAUUUAACAAUAAUAGAAACUAAUUUAGAAACCAAUUUUUUUUUAGUUUAUAAAAUGAUCUCUAAUUUAGUUACUAUUACAACUAAUUAUUUUGGUCCCUAAAAAUUAAUUUCUAUUCUAUACCUUGUAUUUGUGGAUGGAUUAAAGGAACAAAGUGUUUCUGAUUAUACAAUCUUAAAGUUAUUCUUUUAUAUUAGAUUGUGUAGUAUAGAAUUUUAAAUUAUACAAUUCAAAAUAUUAAAAAUUAUUAUUUUUACUGUACAAUUCGGAAGAUAAUAUUAGAUUAUAUAAUUUAGAAUUUUUUUUUUAUGAAAAAAUAUUUUUAGAUUUAUAAGAUUUGUUUUCAUAUAAAAAAAUGAAUUCUAGAUUAUAUAAUAAAAAUGGACAAGUCCAUUAAGGAUUCGUUUUUUUGGCAAAUUUUCCGUGCACUACUUUCAUUGGUUCUUCCCACAUUUUCAUAUAAUUUUAAAAUUCUAAACGUAUUUUACUUAAAAAAAUAUAUAAAAUAGAAACCAAUUUUUAGAGACUAAAAUAAUUAGUUGCAAUAGUAAUUAAAUUAGAAAUCAUUUUAGAAACUACAAAUUAGUUUCUAUUAUUGUUAAAUAGUUUCUAAAUUGGUAUCUAAUUAACAACCAAAGUUUUAAAAACUAAAUAAUUGGUAGUUAAAACUUUUGUUGCUAAUUAGAUACUAAUUUAGAAACUAUUUAACAAUAAUAUAAACUAAUUUAGAAAACAUUAUUUUAUUUAGUUUCUAAAAUGUUCUCUAAUUUAGUUACUAUUGCAACUAAUUAUUUUGAUCUCUAAAAAUUGGUUUCUAUUUCAUGAUUUUCUUGUAGUGUUUGUGGGUAUGGAUUGAGUAAUCCAUAACACCUCUCAUUUAAAAUGUAGACAUCGGAUUGAAUAAUUGAAAGCUAAAAUCGGAUCCGAGAUUGCAUAUCAAAUUAUACAAUCCAAUUUGUGAAUUUGUUUUGUAUAUUGGAUUGUACAAUCCAGUAGGCAAUCUCAAAUUCGAUUUUAGUUUCCAAUUUUGUGUACAUUUAAUUUGUAUUGCAAAUCGAAUUGUACAAUCCAGUAUUUUUUUCAAAUAAUAUAUUGAAUUGUAUAAUUAUGGAUAUCUUGAAUUCGAUUAUAUAUAAUGGAUUUUCCAAUUCGAGAUGUUAAUAAAAAAAAAAUCGGAUGGUAUGAUCCAAUAUCAAAGCAACACAUAAAAAAACAAGGUCCAAACAUGGUGUGAGGAAGAUUCACAGGAAAAAAAAAUUAAAUAUACCUUCGCAAUAAGACAAGUCUUUUACGUUGAUUGUUAUCGCUGUGGCAAUCUGUAUGGGAAGAGAAACUAUACAUUCAUAGACGAAAUUCAAAUCAUUCUUGGUAACAAAAAUACACAUUUAUUAUGAGUAGUUGUACUGGUUCCACAAGAAGAAAAUGAAGGAGUGUAUUGUAAUGUUAAGAGAGAAUUAGAAUAUUUAAAUUUUUAAAAAAGGACAAAAAAAAAUUCACAUUAAUUAUGGAGGUGUAGGAAGAACCAAUGGAUAUGGAGGAAGAAUUUGCCCGUUUUCUUUCUUCAAAUGUGUUGAGCCCAAUUCGGUAGAAUACACCAAAAGCCCAAUGCAAUAGAGUACAGCAAAGCCCACUUUUGCUGGUUAACUCCUAUAGUAGGCAAUUGCUUCCUGCAAUGCACCCAAUUACAAGAAAAAGACGAAAAUAUCCUUAAAAAUAUAAGGUACAUAUAAAAUUACAUUUCAGAUCCCUUUUUUCAGAACACGAUAAUCUCUUAUAGAUAAAUUUUUCCAGAAUGUAUUAUUUUCAAUUCCAGAUUUUUUUUAUGCGGAAUAGGAUUUUGAUUUUUGUUUAUGGAUUUUUAUAUCCGGAACACAAUAAUCUCUUUCGAAAUGCAUUAUUUUCAUUUUCAGAAUAAAGGGUAUUUUCAAAAUUUUAAAAUUGUGUUGGGUGCAGGUUCAAAAUUAUAGGGUGCAGGAAGCAAUUGCCCCUAUAGUAACUAUGUAAGCAUUGCUUCAUUCUACAAUAAGAAAAAAAAAGGAUUAACAUAAUGCUUCUCAAUCUUGAUGGUUUGAAAAGAGUAUUUAUAUAUGUACCUCUAAAAUUUUGACUAACACCAUAAUCAUGGUUGGAAUGGUCAUAGUGAGUUAAUUUGAUUUAUAGUGAGCUAGAAAUAUUGCAGCAAUUCACUAGAUGAGUUAUUUCACUUAAAUAUAUUUUAUUUUCUAACAUAUUUUAUAUAUUUGUUAGAACUGUAUUAACUUUAUUCACCUAUUUAUUACAGUACAAUAAAAAAUGAUUUGUUAUAGGUUCACACGACCUACUUGUUUCUAAUAGUAAAAAAAUAUUGAUGAAUUAAAUGAAGAUUCUAAAUUUCUAUGUAAAUAAAUUACAAAUUCACUCAUUUUCAACUCGACUUAAACAUGUUUAAUCUCUGGGUUAGGUGAGCUGUGUUUAUUUUGAUUUAUAUCAGAAAAAAAUAUUUUUUUAACUUAAUUUGACUCAAAUUUAUGAUGAACAGAAUUAAGUCAUGAAAUCUCAUCUUUAACAUUGCUAUUUAUUAAAAAUGUUCUGAUACUAAACAACUAAAAUAAAAUAUUUACGUGAUAUAAUUAUAAACAUAAAUGUUAAUAUACACCUUAUAUAAUUAAGACAAUAAUAUAUAUAUAUAUAUAUAUAUAUAUAUAUAUAAAUGAGAUAAUCACGAUGAAAACUUCACAUAUAAGUAUUUUUUAAAUUUAAUAAUACAAUAAUCAUAUCAUUAAUAAAAAUAAAAAUAUCCUUUUUCUUGAAUCUUGUCUCGAAAUUUGUUAAUUAUGAUAAAAAUAAGAAGAUAUAUUUGAUCUAUACAUAAAUCAUAAAAUAAUUAUGAAAAGUAUAAUAUAAAUAUUAAAUUCAAAUAUAUAUGAAUGGAAUGAACAUACUUGUAGAGGAUAUAUUUUGGGUGUACCUUGAGGUAGGUUUGGGCUUUAGUAUUCUGAUCCAAUUUUGGUUUAGUUUAUCCCUAAUUUUUGUAUGAAAAAAAAACAUUUUUAUUAUGCAAAUUUCCCUUGAUGAAGAUGUAUUUUUUUAUUGAUUUAAAUAAGUUUAACAUUACAAUACACAUCUGAAAUCUUCUCUUAUGUAUUGUGUCAUAAAAACACAUUGGAAUAACACAAUACCAUUGUGUAUUUUACACAAAAUACACAAUCGAAACUUAUUUUUGUUGUGUACUUAAUAGUAUAUACUAGUUAAUUUUUAAAGAAAGUUUCUUUCAAAUUUAAUUAAUUAUAAAUAAGUUACUUUUUUUAAUAUUAAUAACAUUAAUUUGCUUACGUUUUUAUUUAUUUAUUGAGUCUUAGUUGAUUAACACAAGUUACCAUUUUCAAUAUUAAUUGAAUUAAUCAUGAUACAAAUCAAUAACAUAAUUAAUUUAUAAAAAAUAAAAUAUAUUUUUGUCUAAUAAUUAAUUCAAUUAUUAUUAUUAUUGUAAAUAGUAAAUUUUAUUGUAAUUAAUUUAAUUUCAAUAAAAGUGAAGAUAUAUCAUACUUACUUUGACUACUAUAAAAGAAGAUAAGUUAUAUCAGAAUUAAUUUAAUUUAAUUUUAAUUAAAGAAUAAUUGAUAUCAUCAUUAAGAAUUAGUUAUUAUAUAGUGAAAAUUCCAAUUUAAUUAAUUUUUCUUGUAAAAAAUAAAAAAACGUAUUUUGUUAUCUGAUUACUACUGAACCUCACAUUCCUAUGGAGAGAAAUGGGAAAUAUGUUAUAGUUAAAAAUAAUAAUUUUAUGUAUUAUGUGGAUAUUUUUAAAUUUAGGUGAAUUUUGAAAUCAUUUGCCAGAGUGUUUUUGUUAUCAACUUUAUUUUCUUAUUAAGAAGAUAUAAUAAUACUUUUUUAAAUGAUGUAGUUUAAACAAUGUUUUAAAAACUUGUCUAUUAAGAUAAAUAUAUUUAUAAGUACUUACAAGAAAAAAGUAAAGAAAAAAAUAAUUCUGCAUAAGUUGAAAAUAAAUUUCCCAUAAUUAUAAUUUUUUUUAUAUUAGCUUCUUACAAAAAUUAUUUUUAAUUUAUGUAUUAAUUAAUUUUAACUUCUUUAAUUUUUCUUCUUAUUUAUUAAGAUAAUGAAAUUUAAACUUAACUUAAUUUCAUUAAACAUGUUUAUUAAUGAGAAGUUUGCUCCUACUUAUAUAUUGUAAUUUAGUUUUAUUUUUAAUUGAUGUGAGAUUUUCAACACACCACUCACAUCGAGGAUAUCGUGUGUUCAUGUCAAAGACAUUGAGCGUGAGAAUUGUUAUGUCAUAUUCCUCAAAUAGACCAUCAAGAAUAAUCUCAAUGUAUUCAUCAAUCGAGAUAAGUGCUCCAAUGGGACAUCCACGUUUUCUUGAUAUAUAAUAGAAUGUAUUGACAAUGCGAUCUUUUUUGGGGUUCUUGAGUUGGACCUUUAUGUGAUUAAUCGGUUCCAAAUCUGGACAGUAGUGUAAAACUCAACUAUUUUUGUCAAGAUUGGUGUAGUCAUGGUGACAAGCAUCUACAAUAAAAUUAGAAUAUGUGAUAAUAAAAUUUUCAAUGAUAGAAGAACUAACUUUCGAACGCUGAAAUAUAUAAAAUUAGAUUUUAAAGAUUAAAUUAGCUUUAAUAGAAAAUAUUUUCCUUUUUGACUCUUGUCAUUAAUUACCAUCUUGAUAUAAUAAUUUUAGAAUAGAUUUACAAAGAAUAUCAAUAUGAGAUAAACUAAAUAUUUAAAAUUAGAUUUUAAAAAUUAAAAUAUCUUUCGGAGUGAAGAUUUCCUUCUUUUAUCAUCAUACUAUUAUUACCUUUUAUAAACAAUCCAUGUUGCAAUAGAUCUACAGACAAUGUUGAAAUUUUCCUUAUUCAGACCCAGGUUUCAUCAGCCUUUUGUUCAAAAGAUAAUUCAGAUUUGGAAACCUAGGAAAGACUGUGACUUGAUAACAUGGUAAGGUUUUGGUUUUGUUCUCCUUAGUUUUGUUUGAUCAGAGGAUGAUUUUUUUUUUCAAAGUUGUCAUUUUUGUCUGUCUUUUUUUUAUCAUGUAAAAAAGGCUUACUUUUAACAUUCACAAGUGAACAUUUUCUGGCUUUUUUAUUUAUUUAUUUAUUUGGUCAUAUUUGUAUAUGCUUUUAACAUAUGAUUUUUUUAUUCCAUGCAAUUAUGUGCUAUUUUCUUUAAAUCCUUGACAUGGUGAAUGAAUUCGGUCUUCUGAUGUAAGUUCAUUAGAUAAUUCAAGAAUGAAUCACCAAAGAUAUCAUGUUACAACCGAAAGUAGAAGGAGCCACAAAUUUGUCCAUCGACACAAUCAUCAUGCAUAGCUUGUGCAAGUGCAAGAGAUCACAGGUCACUCCAACUUUCAUGCUCGUAGAGGUAACAUGCAUAAUCAUCCUCCUAGAGGUCACUCCAACUUUCAUGCUCGUAGAGGCAACAUGCAUAAUCAUCCUCCUAAAGGUCACUCCAACUUUCAUGCUCGUAGAGGCAACAUGCAUAAUAUUCCAUCUAGAGUCUUUCUAUUAAGGAAAUAAUUAUCAAAUUAUACGCAAUUAUUGUAUGCAAUAUUGUACGAUAUUGUACCCAAUUAUAUGCAAUUAAUAGAAUCUCAUGAUUGGUGAUCCUUACCUAAUUAGAUUGUAAUUUGGAGAGAGAAACUUCCUACACUAGUAUAUAUUUCUUAUACAUGAAGUGAUGUAAAUGUACACGCAAGAGAAUAAAAACAUCUUCUCUUUUUUCCAUCUUCUUACAUACAAUUUUCUUAUAUGGUAUCAGAGUCAGAUAUGAUAAUUAUGAUAUAAAGAAUUGAAAAUGUUUUUUUAUGAUAUAAUUAUAAUAUUAAUAAAAAGUAACUUAUUUAAUAACUAUUUUUAUAUACAUAUUUUAUUACAAUUCUACUCUUUAUAUUUUUUUUUCAUCUAUAACAAUUAAUAAU